RNAcentral lists this ribosomal RNA (372 nucleotides) under Triticum aestivum (bread wheat). Its description in RNAcentral is "partial small subunit ribosomal RNA". Lineage: Eukaryota; Viridiplantae; Streptophyta; Magnoliopsida; Poales; Poaceae. The record is from RNAcentral.
AUGGCGUACAGCUCGUGCAGGUCCCAGUCUACGAAUGCCCGGUGCUGGCAACACCGCCUGCCUUCGUCCACGACGUGUCCCCGGGCCUGGCAUGCCUGGUGCGGUGCUUCAUCAAAUUCGUCUUCGACCGUCUACGCAUGCCCGGUGCUGGCAACACCGACGCGUGCCUUCGUCUACGACGUGUCCCCGGGUUUGGCAACCCCGGCGCGACGCCUCGUCAACACCGUCUUCUCCACGGCGACUUCCUCGACACCGGCCACCCCGACUCGACAUCGACCACGGCAUUCUUCGCACGGCUACCUCGUCCACGGCUCCACCACCCACACUCUUCGCUACGUUGACAAACGGCACAAAGGGCUACCGCCUGCUUGA